Molecule: ribosomal RNA, 253 nt
Filed under: uncultured bacterium
Lineage: Bacteria
Description: partial 16S ribosomal RNA
Rfam family: Bacterial small subunit ribosomal RNA
Source: RNAcentral
UACGAAAGGGGCUAGCGUUGUUCGGAAUUACUGGGCGUAAAGCGCACGUAGGCGGAUCGUUAAGUCGGAGGUGAAAUCCCGGGGCUCAACCCCGGAACUGCCUUCGAUACUGGCGGUCUCGAGGACGGUAGAGGCUAGUGGAAUGGCGAGUGUAGAGGUGAAAUUCGUAGAUAUUCGCCGGAACACCAGUGGCGAAGGCGACUGGCUGGACCGUUUCUGGCGCUGAGGUGCGAAAGCGUGGGGAGCAAACAGG